Molecule: ribosomal RNA, 206 nt
Filed under: uncultured bacterium
Lineage: Bacteria
Description: partial 16S ribosomal RNA
Rfam family: Bacterial small subunit ribosomal RNA
Source: RNAcentral
AGCGCAGGCGGGAAGACAAGUUGGAAGUGAAAUCCAUGGGCUCAACCCAUGAACUGCUUUCAAAACUGUUUUUCUUGAGUAGUGCAGAGGUAGACGGAAUUCCCGGUGUAGCGGUGGAAUGCGUAGAUAUCGGGAGGAACACCAGUGGCGAAGGCGGCCUACUGGGCACCAACUGACGCUGAGGCUCGAAAGUGUGGUAGCAAACA